This 403-nucleotide ribosomal RNA is filed under the name Reighardia sternae. RNAcentral describes it as "bacterial SSU rRNA". It matches the Rfam family "Eukaryotic small subunit ribosomal RNA", at positions 630 to 1030 of the family's 1831-position model. Lineage: Eukaryota; Metazoa; Arthropoda; Ichthyostraca; Reighardiida; Reighardiidae. The record is from RNAcentral.
GUAGUUGGAUCUUGGCUCGCGACGGUCGGAUCGUCUUCUUGGCGAAUUCCAGACCGAUCCGAGCAGAAAUCGCUGGUACGUCCGUCGGUGCUCUUCAUCGAGUGUCGGCGGAUGGCCGGUACGUUUACUUUGAAAAAAUUAGAGUGCUCAAAGCAGGCGAUGGUGCCGGAAUAAUAGUGCAUGGAAUAAUGGAAUAGGAUCUCGGUUCUAUUUUGUUGGUUCUCGGAACUCGAGAUAAUGAUUAAUAGGAACAGACGGGGGCAUUCGUAUUGCGACGUUAGAGGUGAAAUUCUUGGAUCGUCGCAAGACGGACUACUGCGAAAGCAUUUGCCAAGAAUGUUUUCAUUAAUCAAGAACGAAAGUUAGAGGUUCGAAGGCGAUCAGAUACCGCCCUAGUUCUAAC